CCUACGGGAGGCAGCAGUGAGGAAUAUUGGUCAAUGGACGCAAGUCUGAACCAGCAAUGCCGCGUGCAUGAAGACGGCUCUAUGAGUUGUAAACUGCUUUUUUACAAGGGUAAACCUGAAUACGUGUAUUCAGCUGAAAGUACUGUACGAAUAAGGAUCGGCUAACUCCGUUCCAGCAGCCGCGGUAAUACGGAGGAUCCAAGCCUUAUCCGGAUUUGUUGGGUUUAAAGGGUGCGUAGGCGGAUCGAUAAGUUAGAGGUGAAAUGCACGGGCUUAACCCGGGAACUGCAUUGAAUACUGUGGACCUUGAGAGUAGAUGCGGUAGGCGGAAUGUAUGGUGUAGCGGUGAAAUGCUUAGAUAUCAGACAGAACACCGAUUGCGAAGGCAGCUUACUAAUCUAUAUCUGACGUUGAGGCACGAAAGCGUGGGGAGCAAACAGGAUUAGAUACCCGUGUAGUC
RNAcentral lists this ribosomal RNA (460 nucleotides) under uncultured bacterium. RNAcentral describes it as "partial 16S ribosomal RNA". It matches the Rfam family "Bacterial small subunit ribosomal RNA", at positions 338 to 795 of the family's 1533-position model. The record is from RNAcentral.